GCCAAACACAUGUACUUUAACUGUAUAAACACUAUUGACUCAUGAUUGACUCUUCAAUCUUGUUUUACCAGAUGUGAAAUAACAAGUUUCAUGGACUCACAGACAUUUUUCUAAAAUGUCUCGUCUUUUUUCCUUUCUCUUUCAGGGAUUACGACCGCAAAAUACCGUAAAUCUCCCUAAAUAUGCAGCGUGUCUCUCUGCUACCUUCCCACCUGUAUGCACUCUAAUCUGGGGUCAGCCCUGCAGAAAGGGGACGAGAUAGCGUGCGCCUCCACCAAAGACCCCCAUGGGGCCAGAGGAGACCUACGUUCCUUGGAACAGCACUGACGUGGCUCAACGUGAGGAAGAUCAUUGGUGGAAAAGAUUGUGGGUAUGCUAUAGAAAAUAUAUACUGUUGCAGUUCAACUUCCACUCUGUUGUUGCUCUUUUGCCAACAGGCCUGAGGAGUUGAUGCAGAGUCGGAACGAGACAGACAGAAACUCAACAUUACCUAUACACAGGUAGAACGGUCCUCCACUCCUUAUGGAUAUAAGGGAAAUAAAACGUCCAUUGCAUGAAUAUUAUGUAGCAGCGCCUCAAGGCUGCGUGGUGAGUCUGUGCCCUGGGCCAUAUACUGAACCAGGGCGGGGACGAGAGUGCAGGCGGGGCCACCCGAGACCCACAUGGCAACGGCAAGAGAUGAGAGGAAGUGUAACGUGGGGCCUCAUACAGGAGUUGCUGGCUGUGCUCUAUUGCUCUUAAGCCAUUACUUUUCUUUCUCUGCUUUCCUUUGCCAUCACUGAUCUGGAAGGACAAGAGGAUUGAGAGAAACGUUGAAAGAUUUAGUCACUCCACCUGCCCAUUGCUUAUGUGCAGCACUUGGUGAUGGAGGAGAGGACACAAUAGGAGAGAAGUUGUACAGAGGGUGUAAUUUGUGUGUGGUAAACCUAAAAAGUUGCUAUUUAUUAAAGACAUAUUAAUAAUUGUCUUAAUUAAUCACUUAAGAAAAGUAUGAAAUAUUUGUCAUUGUGUACCGCAGGGCCGGCUCCAGGCAUAAGCGACAUGCUGUCGUUUAGGGCCCCUGGCCCCCAGAGUCUCAACUGUUGAGAGUUAGAAUAUUAGAAUACACAAGACACAAGAUCGAAAUGUGAUCGUGCAGUCACUCAAUUAGCCAUGACAGCUAACAAUUUUUAGAUUGGUAAGUUAGUCUAGCCAGGUAUCUACAUUUGUAGUAAUCAUGGCCAAAUACCGACCCGGCAUGCAGGGCACGUAGCCAGGGGCCUGACCUCCAGAGGGACUCCAUUGAUUUUGUUAGUCACUCUCACUCAGAUAUAAUAAGUCAUGACAAAAUGUGUAGAAUUGCAGAAAAUUUGCUUUAAAACAGCACAUAGCCUGCUGUAUUUCCCUCUGCCCCAAGGCAAAAUGAGUAGAAUUGCAGAACAUUUGCUUUAAAACAGCACAUAGCCUGCUGUAUUUCCCUCUGCCCCAUGGCAAAAUGAGUAGAAUUGCAUAAAUGUUGUUAUAAUAUUGCAAAAUGUUCUCUCCGCCCCAUGGCAAUGUCUAGAACUGCAGGAAAUGUACCUUAAAACGUACAUUACUGUCUUAAAUGUAAAGGGUCCAGUGGUGUGGCGACAUAAACCUAUUGUUAAAAUGUUUGGAGAGGUUUCACGAGCGCGCCAUUACACCCUCACACAUUUUGGUGAAGGAAAAGUCAAACCUACAUCCCUUGAAAUUUCUCUUGCCCAUUUAAUGUGAUGGGGGAUUGUAUUGGUGCUGAAUUUAUCCAGAUAUUAAAAGGAUAUUGAAAAUAUUGAAUUGUUGUGGGUGACAGUUGCGCAUAACCUCAAUACGCAAGAAGGCUAGCUGGCUUUUGGGAAGAGCAGCAGACAUGGAUUCUCAAAAACAGGAGUUUUGGAAGGAGGCUAUUUUGAAAGAGUCAUUUGUUAGACUAAAUGGAUUUCAAAAGAAAAGAUGGGUGAAAAACGAGGGAUGAAACUGCCACAAAUCAACGAACCUGAACGUGAAGCCAAACUGGUGAAAACGCUGACCAAGAGAAGGUCACAAUUAGAAGCAGGUAUAAAGUAGAGAUGAGAAGGUGCUUGUUGAUGUGAUACGGCCGGCUUCGGGAGAAAUUCUAGCAACAUUGUAAAACCACUCAUCAUGGACUUGGAAUAUUUAAACGUUUUCUACUUUGAAAUAGCCAAAAUAAACAGGCACAUCACAUGCAAUGGUGUAUACUGAACAACUAUUCAGGGGGUAACAUCAUGGUCCUGCCCAGCUUUUAUCUUUACUACAGUCCAUCUCCAGUUGUCACGGUAACUGCCCCUGCUGUGCUCCCUCUGAAUGCAGGUGACAUGAACAAGGCCUUCGACCCGAUGUACGCACUCAACGCCAUUGUGAAAGAGAGCCUCUUCCGCAAGAACGGCAUCUUCCCUCGCUCUGCCACCUCAGACACAGUGGCGUGAGGGUGCCCACCGGAUCACACAGGCCCCAAGUGACAAUACAAACACACCACCAACAACCGCACUGGUUUUUAAUUUGUAUUCAUCCUAUUUUUGUGAAGACAGAAAUGAAGCUGCGAAAUAGAAUGUGUGAAAUAAAAGUGUGGUUCUGGGA
Molecule: long non-coding RNA, 2595 nt
Organism: Oncorhynchus nerka (sockeye salmon)
Lineage: Eukaryota; Metazoa; Chordata; Actinopteri; Salmoniformes; Salmonidae
Exons: 5
Source: RefSeq, a predicted model, not a curated record